Molecule: long non-coding RNA, 6263 nt
Filed under: Sus scrofa (pig)
Lineage: Eukaryota; Metazoa; Chordata; Mammalia; Artiodactyla; Suidae
Description: lncRNA (ENSSSCG00055008268.1)
Source: RNAcentral
CUUUUUUUUUUUUUUUUUUGGCUUUUUAGGGCUGCGCUUGAAGUAUAUGGAGAUUCCCAGGCUAGGGGUGGAAUCGGAGCUGUAGCCACCGGCCUACGCCAGAGCCACAGCAACACGGGAUCCAAGGCAUGUCUGCGACCCACACCACAGCUCAUGGCAACACCGGAUCCUUAAUCCGCUGAGCGAGGCCAGGGACUGAACCCGCAACCUCAUGGUUCCUAGUCGGAUUUGUUAACCACUGAGCCACGGCGGGAACUCCUGUAACUAUCUCUUUGUUUCUUAGAAAUGUGUUGUCAAGUGGAAGGAAGCUGACAAAUGAAUGGGUACCAGAAGGAUGACAUUGUCAGCUUGCAGCAAGGAUCCAUCAAGAAUCAUUUAGGCAGUCCAGUAUCACGGGUCGCUUCAACUCCAUCCCUUAAUACUGAACUUACACUGGGGGAGUAAAGCAUACCCUAAGUCCCAGGGAUGAAACUAUCAAUUUGAAGUUCCUAUAAAAUAAGUGGUGACUCUCACCUGAGAUACAGACACACAGUUUCCCAAAAUGAAUGCUUCCCACAGUGAUGACUCUCAUGGUAAUUCACUGGGAGAUAAGCAGGUAAUUGUUGAGACUUGCUAAUGUGUGUGGGAGACAUUUCUGCACCGAACAAUGAUGUCUCCUGACUCUUGAGAACCCAUGAUUAUAUUAAGCAUUUGAACUCUAUUUGAAAUAUCCUGAUAAUGGAUAUUCACAGCUACAUGCGCCUUGUGUUUUGUUUAUUUAAAAGCUCCUUGAUCUAGGAGAAAAAAGGUAUGCACUAGACUAGGUGUUGGGUGGACUUUUUUCCCCUUGCAGUAUUUUCCUUAUUGUUUGCAACAGCACAAAUUUGGAGUGUGAACCAGUAUUUAUGGACAAAAUGUAUUUAUACUUUAUUCUUUCGAAGUCGUUUUUGUGAUUGUUAGCAGAACAAAGGAUAGCUGUAAACCUGAGAGCAUUUUUGUGUGUGAUGUUUUUGGUGAAUUUAACUAGCUGCUAAUGGGGCUCAGGUUGUCUUAGAUCUUGUAUCUGGAUGAAACCUGGCACAUAAAAUUGUCAGCCCUGGAGCAAAUCUUCCUUUCUUCCCUUGGUUUUAUUUAGUUCUUUCCAGUUGUUUUCCAUUGGUGGCUUAUUAGUGGUUGUGGUUUAGCAAAAAUAACUGGAGACUGUAAGCUAAGAGUUGGUAAUGGUAUCAGGAUGUGGCUGCUUCUCCUGGACCAGAAAUCAUGUUGAAACUCAUUUUUUUUUUUGCAGGCCCCCCCCCCCCCCCCCGCCGCCCCUGCCACAUCUAAGUGUACCUGGCAUUUGGCCUAAUGAUGAUGGAGUGAGAAUUUGGAGUGUUUAUGAGGACAGUUGGCUUUUAAUUAUCCAGGAGCUGUGUUCUUUUCUAUCUGUCUCUCCUUCCUGGCUGUGUGAAGCCACGGGGCCCUUCCUAGGGGAUGAGGUGGGAGGAGUAAUUUGCACUCGCCACUGAGACCCAGGGCUUGUCGUGGGCAGCAGGGCAGAAAAUGUUUAGAUUUUUGACCACUAUGAGAUGUUGGAUUCCAUUCAGAAUUCAGUGAUCUGUGCAAUUCUGAUACCACUCUUGGAAGACUGUGAGUUGGCUUUGGUUUUGCUAUCAGAUGAUGUUAGCAUUGGCAAAAAUUGUCCUGGUAUACGCUGGGGAUAUUAUGUAGUCCAAAGCCAAAUCUUAAGAGGGGCUGGUGACUUGGAAAUUAUGCUGCUUGAGGCAGUGUUAUUUUGCUGAAUAUACAAGUUAAACAAGAACAUGCUGAAAUUCAAAGGGUGAGCCGCAUUUUAGAGAGAUGCCUAGGCUCAAAAUGCCAUUUUGACCACAAAUUUCAAAACAGGGUUGGACUUUUUAAGUGGAAUUUCCAAGAAUUGCUUCAUCUUACUUUUACAUUCCUAGUGCCGGCAUCAUGUCAGGUAUGCACAUAGCAGUUGUCAUUACAUGAUUUUUUAUUUUUUAAAUUAAAAAAUUUUAAAUUAUUUAUUUAUUUGUCUUUUUAGGACAAUAUCUCGGCAAAUGGGGGUUCCCAGACUAGGGGUCAAAUUGGAGCUGUAGCUGCCGGCCUACACCACAGCAGCUCGGGAUCCGAGCCAUGUUUGUGAGCUAUACCACAGCUCACGGCAAUGCUGGAUCCUUAACUCACUGAGUGAGGCUGAGGAUCGAACCUGCGUCCUCAUGGAUACUAGUCAGGUUUGUUUCCCUGAGCCACUACAGGAACUCCCACAUGAUUUCUUAAAUAAAUGAGUAGCUUAAUACUUUCUUAGUAUCUUAGUUAAGAGUAAUAAAGAUAAUUUAUUUUAUUCAUUAUUUAAAAAUAUUUUUUAUUGGAGUGUAGUUGAUAUACAAGGUUGUGUUAGUUUCAUGUGUACAGUAAUUUCAGUUAUACAUGUACUUACAUCCAUUCUUAUUCAGAUUCUUUACCCAUAUAGGUUAUUACAGAAUCUUUUUUAUUUUAUUUAAUUUUUUAAUUUUUUUACUUUUUGUGUUUUCAGGGCUGCACCUGUGGCAUAUGGAGGUUCCCAGGGUAGGGGUCUAAUUGGAGCUGUAGCUGCUGGCCUAUGCCAGAGCCACAGCAAUGCCAGAUCUGAGCCAAAUCUGUGACCUACACCACAGCUCAUGGCAGUGCCAGAUCCUCAACCCACUGAGCGAGGCCAGGGAUCGAACCCGCAACCUCAUGGUUCCUAAUCAGAUUUGUUAACCACUGCACCACAACGGGAACUCCUAUUACGGAAUCUUAAGUUGAGUUUCUUAUGCUAUACAGAAGGUCUUUGUUGGCUGUUUUAUGUAUAGUAGUGCAUGUUUAUUUAUACAAACCUCCUAAUAUAUCUCUCCCCCCCUUCCCCCUUUGGUAACCAAGGAAAGAUAAUUGAAAAGGAAAGUUGAAUUCUAAUAUAUUCCUUAGUCUGGAAGAAAUUGACGUAACAAAUCAGUAUGAAAAGCUCUUCACCCUGAGGUUUUCAUCUGAGAAUAUUCCCUCUUGAUGAGCUGCAUCUCUGGAGUGACGUGUUUCUGUGGACUCCCGUAUGUGUUUGUUCUUGGGCUGUUGACAAAACCAGGGUCGGUGAUUUUGGGAUUAGAGGCAGGCUCUUCCUCGGAGACACAACCAAUCCCCACUCCUCCCAUACCCAUGAAAUUUAGCCAUUGGUUUUGCCUUUUUAUUUUAUUUUAUUUUUCUGGUCUUGUUCUUCCUUGCUUAAAAUGUUUGUGGUGCAGAUAUUCAUAGGAAGAGUAAUUAGAUUUAACAUAAAGGAUGAGUAUGUGUAUGCUGUAUCUCAGCCAAUGAGAAGUUGGGUAAGGCAGUCCUGCCCUGGAGAGUAGGCAGAGUAGGCUGGGAUGGAGCGGGGAGGUUCUGAAUUACGUCGUAAAGGUCACGCAGUGUUUUCAUAGACUUUCUCAUUGGAUGUUCCCUGCCUGUUAGGUAGGGACUGACCUCGGUCUUAACGCAAGCAGCUGUGUUGUAACUCGGUUUCCUGCGUCAGAAUGGGGUAAGAGUGUCUACCGCAUAGGGAUGCUGUGGAGAUGCAGGGAGAUGGUGCCCGAAGGAAACCGUGAGUGUUGGUUGUCCUAAUCCUGGGGCCUCUUUGAUAGCUGAGGAGACUGAAGCCUGGGGGAAUUAGAAGACUUAACCCUCAUUGUGCAAAGGUGUCUCAGGCCCCCAUUCAGCUUCUCUGACCCCCAGUUUUUAUCAGGAUAGCUGGCUUCUCUAAAACUGUGCAUUACCUUUUCAAUAAUUUUGAUCUGGAAAGAGCUAGGAGGGCGACAUUUUCUUCUAUGUAAAUUAUAUUUAGUUUUUACCUAAUUGUCUUGACUGGGUAUCAAAAUCCUUGCAUUUCUAGGAUUUUAGCAUGUGUGACCAGUGGGAUCUGUCAAAAUGAUUGAAUCGUAGAUAAUGUGUACAUUUCAUGGAAUUCAUUAUAAAAAUUGGACCUGUUUUGUGGCGUCAUGGGGAUUGUGUAAUGAUUGCUUCAAAAAUGAAGUUUAAGAAGAGAGAAGGGUCUUUUAAAUUCUUUGGCAGCUUGCUUGCUUAUUUAUUUAUUUAUUUGUUUUCUUGGCCACCCAUAGCAUCUGAAAGUUCCCUGGCCAGGGAUUGAGCCUGCACCACUGCAGUAACCAUUUAACGGUGUUGUGAUGAUUGUUGUACACCUAUAAAUGUAAUAAAAUUCAUUAAGUAAUUAAAAAAAUUGACUAUGGAGCAGUGACAAGACCAGGUCCUUAACCCACUGAGCCACAAGGGAACUCCUUUGACAGCUUUUUAGAGGCUGACUGAAAACAUGGUAGCUUCUUGAUGUGUGACAGCGUGGGGCUUCUCUCUGUGGAAACCACACCCUGCAACGGCUCUCUCAUAGGAAGGUGGACACUAGGUUAUGUUCCUGAAUGGAAAAAUUAAGGCAGACCUGUUAUUUAAAGAAUUGUUUCAUUAUGUGGUUCCUAUGUUCCAUAGUGGUUUCUGAUGUUCAGUGUACCUUGUGUUAUUAUUUUCUUUUUGGCAUGACUUAUGUUGAAGUUAUUGGCAUGGUGAUGAUCGUACUGUGUAUCUUAAAUAUUCUGGGAUAGUAGCUCAUCACUCAAUUGGUAAGCAACUUAAUUUGGAAUCAGCUAUGAGCCCGAUUGAAGCUCACUGCCUAGUUUCUGUCAGCAAAGAUCCCUUCCCCUCCUUUAUUUAUUUAUUUAUUUAUAUAUUUUUAGGGCCGCCCCUGUGGCACAUGGAGGUUCCCAGGCUAAGGGUUGAAUCGGAGCUGUAGCUGCUGGCCCACACCACAGCCACAGCAACACAGGAUUUGAGCCGUGUCUGCGACCCACACCACAGCUCAUGGCAACGCCAGAUCCUUAACCCACUGAGUGAGGCCAGGGAUUGAACCUGCAUCCUCAUGGAUACUAGUUGGGUUCGUUAACCACUGAGCCAUGAUGUGAACUCCCUUUCCCCUCUUUUAAACAAGCUCAAAUGAACACUGCAUUUUUGCAUUGAGAUUCACACAAAAAUAUGUUAGACCGUGCUUUGGGGUUUCUUUGAAAUGGCUGCUCAAAGGGAUUUGAGAAAUUUAAAUGAGGUGGAUGCCUGCUUGCAUUAGUGUUUUGCUGAUACUCAGUCUGAUAUGAAGAAUUUUUUGAGAAGCUCCCAGAAUGUUUGGGAUUUAAGUCAUGUGGAUUAUGCGGUCAGAAUUGGAACCCAGAGGUGAAGUUUUAGAGAAAUUUGGUGCAUAUAUUGGCAGGAAAUCUCAUCCAGCGAGAGGAUGAAAACAAAACUGCAAGCAAAACAGUAACGUGUGUGAAGAUAAUUCCCAUCGGUUUAUUAAAUUAAUACAUUUCACAGCAAAAGCAAUGGCCUUUUUUUUUUUUUUUUUUGGGAAAUCUGUGAACUUGUCACUUACUGCGGGUGUGUUAGGCUGGUAGGUAUUUUCUUCCACAACACAUGCCCUUUAAAAACUUCCUAUCAAGGGCUUUCUUUGGAGGCUGCAGGUGGUAAGACAGGUUUGGCAGCCGUGUUUGUGCAGAGCGUUUCUGGCUCGCUGCUCCACCUUGAACAUGCUCAGGGAGAGUGAUUCUAAUACCUUCCCAGGAAGUAUGUUGCCUGAGAGCCCCACGCUUGGCCAGUCUCUUAGCUCCUCUUCAACAGGCUGGCUGCUCCGCACAUGGGGACACAACAGCUGGAAGCACUGGCCUUGAUGAUAAUGUGUAGGUUUUUUUUUUUUCUUUUUUUUUUUUGAGAAGUCAAAUGUUUUCACACAUCCUUUAUGUGUCGUGAACUAGAUAUGGCAAAUACUCCUUUCCCUUUGAAAAAUCAGGGGACUUUGCAGCACUUUAUACAAUAGCCAAGGAAUGGAGGCAACCUAAAUGCCCAUGGACAGAGGAGUGGAUAAAGAUGAUGUAUAUAUACACAAUGGACUAUUACUCAGCCAGAAAAAGGAAUGAAAUAGUGGCAUUUGCAGCAACAUGGGUGGACCUGGAAAUUAUCAUGCUAGGUGAAGUCAGAGAGUGAGAUACCAACAUCAUAUGCUAUCACUUAUAUGUGGAAUCUUAAAAAAAGGAUACAAUGAUCUUAGUUAUAGAACAGAAAUUGACUCACAGACUUUGAAGAGCUCAUGAUUUACCAAAGGAGACAGGUUGGGGUGGGGAGGGAUGGGCUGGGGGUUUGGGAUGGAAAUGCUGUAAAACUGGGUCGUGAUGACAGUUGUACACCUAUACAUACAAUACAAUUCAUUGAGUUAAAAAAAUAAAAUCUCCAAAAAAAAAAAAAAAAAA